RNAcentral lists this long non-coding RNA (917 nucleotides) under Hordeum vulgare. RNAcentral's name for it is "long non-coding RNA (HVUL_LNC018735)". Lineage: Eukaryota; Viridiplantae; Streptophyta; Magnoliopsida; Poales; Poaceae. The record is from RNAcentral.
GACAUCAUACAUCAGGUUCACAAAAGGAUAGCUAAAAGAUGCUAGUAUGAGACAUGAGUUGUACAAAAUGAAAGCUAAAUAUCCAGGUGACACGGAUCGCUGGCUUCAUGGUUCCUUGUGAGUCUUGUCCUUUUGUUUGCUUCCUACAAAAGUUAAACAAGUCUCAAUUAUAAUAAUACAAUGUCAUAAACUGCAAUCUCUUUGCUUGUUUUUAUUUUGCAAACGUUACAUAUGUGAGUAGUCUUUUUUUGUCAAGUGAAUCACAUGAUGAUAGAAAUGAUACCAUAUCUCAAAACUAUUUACAUGUCAAUCAUAUUUAUUGCUUACAUACCAGUCUUUAGAAAUAAUAGCAGCGCAUACCUAGCUUCAUACGAAAGAGUGAAAAAAGAUCACCUAAGGCAUGCAAUCAAAACAUGUAACAAUUAAAUAACAAUGUGGAAGCAUGAUAUGUCGUUUUUUGUUUACUUCCUACAGUUAAAUAACAUGUAACAAUUAAACAAGUAAUUAUUUACUCUUUUGUCCAUAUAUAUAUGCUAGUAGGAUAUAGUACACAGGAGCAAAAAAUCUAUAUUUGUUACAGUACUACAUGCAUAUAUAAAAGUCUCAUGUUACACACAGGGCUAAAGAUUCACAGGCAUUUCCAAGGAGUAAAAAUAAAAGGUAUCCAAUAAUUAGAAGCAAAAAAGUUUAAGAGAUCACACAUGCAUAUUUAAAAGUAAUUAGGAGCAGCAAGUUUAAGAAGUUAACUGGCUCAAGUGGGUUUUAGCAAGGCACAAUAGAAGAAUCUAGCUAUGUUCUCUAAAUAAACCAAAAUAAAAGAACAUUAAGAAUUUACCAUCACUCUGAAUACUAUGCACAAAAUAGUUCUUAUUGAGAUGCAAUUACAUCAAUCAUUCAUGCCAUCGCUUCAUCCUGCA